GCCAGCAGCCGCGGUAAUACGUAGGGUGCAAGCGUUAAUCGGAAUUACUGGCGUAAAGCGUGCGCAGGCGGUUAUGCAAGACAGAUGUGAAAUCCCCGGGCUCAACCUGGGAACUGCAUUUGUGACUGCAUAGCUAGAGUACGGUAGAGGGGGAUGGAAUUCCACGUGUAGCAGUGAAAAUGCGUAGAUAUGUGGAGGAACACCGAUGGCGAAGGCAAUCCCCUGGACCUGUACUGACGCUCAUGCACGAAAGCGUGGGGAGCAAACAGGAUUAGAUACCCUGGUAGUCCACGCCCUAAACGAUGUCAACUGGUUGUUGGGAGGGUUUCUUCUCAGUAACGUASUAACGCGUGAAGUUGACCGCCUGGGGAGUACGGCCGCAAGGUUGAAASUCAAAGGAAUUGACGGGGACSGKCACAAGCGGUGGAUGAUGUGGUUUAAUUCGAUGCAACGCGAAAAACCUUACCUACCCUUGACAUGCCAGGAAUCUUGCAGAGAUG
Molecule: ribosomal RNA, 500 nt
Filed under: beta proteobacterium ANRB20-2
Lineage: Bacteria; Pseudomonadati; Pseudomonadota; Betaproteobacteria
Description: bacterial SSU rRNA
Rfam family: Bacterial small subunit ribosomal RNA
Source: RNAcentral